Molecule: ribosomal RNA, 484 nt
Filed under: uncultured bacterium
Lineage: Bacteria
Description: partial 16S ribosomal RNA
Rfam family: Bacterial small subunit ribosomal RNA
Source: RNAcentral
AUUGAACGCUGGCGGCAGGCCUAACACAUGCAAGUCGAGCGGAUGAAGGGAGCUUGCUCCUGGAUUCAGCGACGGACGGGUGAGUAAUGCCUAGGAAUCUGCCUGGUAGUGGGGGAUAACGUCCGGAAACGGGCGCUAAUACCGCAUACGUCCUGAGGGAGAAAGUGGGGGAUCUUCGGACCUCACGCUAUCAGAUGAGCCUAGGUCGGAUUAGCUAGUUGGUGGGGUAAAGGCCUACCAAGGCGACGAUCCGUAACUGGUCUGAGAGGAUGAUCAGUCACACUGGAACUGAGACACGGUCCAGACUCCUACGGGAGGCAGCAGUGGGGAAUAUUGGACAAUGGGCGAAAGCCUGAUCCAGCCAUGCCGCGUGUGUGAAGAAGGUCUUCGGAUUGUAAAGCACUUUAAGUUGGGAGGAAGGGCAGUAAGUUAAUACCUUGUUGUUUUGACGUUACCAACAGAAUAAGCACCGGCUAACUUCGUG